This 151-nucleotide non-coding RNA is filed under the name Foraminifera environmental sample. The record is from RNAcentral. Lineage: Eukaryota; Foraminifera.
UACAUUAAAUAAAAAGAAAUAAAUUAUGCGGAUGGCAAAUAUUGAAAAGAUAAACAAUAGAAACCUUUGUUUAUGAUUUUCAUGUUAUACAUUUUCACUUUCUUUUUUGUUUUUUUUCUUAUUAUUGUACGUAGUGCUAAUUUUUAAAUUA